Molecule: ribosomal RNA, 460 nt
Filed under: uncultured bacterium
Lineage: Bacteria
Description: partial 16S ribosomal RNA
Rfam family: Bacterial small subunit ribosomal RNA
Source: RNAcentral
CCUACGGGUGGCAGCAGUGAGGAAUAUUGGUCAAUGGACGAGAGUCUGAACCAGCCAAGUAGCGUGAAGGAUGACUGCCCUAUGGGUUGUAAACUUCUUUUAUAUGGGAAUAAAACGUUCCACGUGUGGGAUUUUGUAUGUACCAUAUGAAUAAGGAUCGGCUAACUCCGUGCCAGCAGCCGCGGUAAUACGGAGGAUCCGAGUGUUAUCCGGAUUUAUUGGGUUUAAAGGGAGCGUAGGUGGAUUGUUAAGUCAGUUGUGAAAGUUUACGGCUCAACCGUAAAAUUGCAGUUGAAACUGGCAGUCUUGAGUACAGUAGAGGUGGGCGGAAUUCGUGGUGUAGCGGUGAAAUGCUUAGAUAUCACGAAGAACUCCGAUUGCGAAGGCAGUUCACUGGACUGCAACUGACACUGAGGCUCGAAAGUGUGGGUAUCAAACAGGAUUAGAUACCCGUGUAGUC